GACGAACGCUGGCGGCGUGCUUAACACAUGCAAGUCGAACGGAAAGGCCCUGCUUUUGUGGGGUGCUCGAGUGGCGAACGGGUGAGUAACACGUGAGUAACCUGCCCUUGACUUUGGGAUAACUUCAGGAAACUGGGGCUAAUACCGGAUAGGAGCUCCUGCUGCAUGGUGGGGGUUGGAAAGUUUCGGCGGUUGGGGAUGGACUCGCGGCUUAUCAGCUUGUUGGUGGGGUAGUGGCUUACCAAGGCUUUGACGGGUAGCCGGCCUGAGAGGGUGACCGGCAACAUUGGGACAGAGAUACGGCCGGGACUCCGCCGGGAGGAAGCAGUGGGGAAUAUUGCACAAUGGGCGGAAGCCUGAUGCAGCAACGCCGCGUGCGGGAUGACGGCCUUCGGGUUGUAAACCGCUUUCGCCUGUGACGAAGCGUGAGUGACGGUAAUGGGUAAAGAAGCACCGGCUAACUACGUG
This 468-nucleotide ribosomal RNA is filed under the name uncultured bacterium. Its description in RNAcentral is "partial 16S ribosomal RNA". It matches the Rfam family "Bacterial small subunit ribosomal RNA", at positions 28 to 507 of the family's 1533-position model. The record is from RNAcentral.